RNAcentral lists this ribosomal RNA (750 nucleotides) under Flavobacterium araucananum. RNAcentral describes it as "bacterial SSU rRNA". It matches the Rfam family "Bacterial small subunit ribosomal RNA", at positions 87 to 835 of the family's 1533-position model. Lineage: Bacteria; Pseudomonadati; Bacteroidota; Flavobacteriia; Flavobacteriales; Flavobacteriaceae. The record is from RNAcentral.
ACUAGAGACCGGCGCACGGGUGCGUAACGCGUAUGCGAUCUACCUUUUACAGAGGGAUAGCCCAGAGAAAUUUGGAUUAAUACCUCAUAGUAUAAUGACUUGGCAUCAAGACAUUAUUAAAGUCACAACGGUAAAAGAUGAGCAUGCGUCCCAUUAGCUAGUUGGUAAGGUAACGGCUUACCAAGGCUACGAUGGGUAGGGGUCCUGAGAGGGAGAUCCCCCACACUGGUACUGAGACACGGACCAGACUCCUACGGGAGGCAGCAGUGAGGAAUAUUGGACAAUGGGCGCAAGCCUGAUCCAGCCAUGCCGCGUGCAGGAUGACGGUCCUAUGGAUUGUAAACUGCUUUUAUACGAGAAGAAACACUACUUCGUGAAGUAGCUUGACGGUAUCGUAAGAAUAAGGAUCGGCUAACUCCGUGCCAGCAGCCGCGGUAAUACGGAGGAUCCAAGCGUUAUCCGGAAUCAUUGGGUUUAAAGGGUCCGUAGGCGGUUUAGUAAGUCAGUGGUGAAAGCCCAUCGCUCAACGGUGGAACGGCCAUUGAUACUGCUGAACUUGAAUUAUUAGGAAGUAACUAGAAUAUGUAGUGUAGCGGUGAAAUGCUUAGAGAUUACAUGGAAUACCAAUUGCGAAAGGCAGGUUACUACUAAAUUGAUUGACGCUGAUGGACGAAGCGUGGGUAGCGAACAGGAUUAGAUACCCUGGUAGUCCACGCCGUAACGAUGGAUACUAGCUGUUGGGAGCAUCUC